This 305-nucleotide ribosomal RNA is filed under the name uncultured bacterium. RNAcentral describes it as "bacterial SSU rRNA". It matches the Rfam family "Bacterial small subunit ribosomal RNA", at positions 333 to 655 of the family's 1533-position model. The record is from RNAcentral.
CCCCGCCUACGGGAGGCAGCAGUGGGGAAUAUUGCACAAUGGGGGAAACCCUGAUGCAGCAACGCCGCGUGAGUGAAGAAGUAUUUCGGUAUGUAAAGCUCUAUCAGCAGGGAAGAAAAUGACGGUACCUGAGUAAGAAGCCCCGGCUAACUACGUGCCAGCAGCCGCGGUAAUACGUAGGAUCCGAGCGUUAUCCGGAUUCAUUGGGUUUAAAGGGUGCGUAGGUUGUUUUAUAAGUUAGCGGUGAAAUACCGAUGCUCAACAUCGGGGCUGCCGCUGAUACUGUAGGACUAGAGAUCGGAUGG